AGCCUGCGAGUUGCGAUGCGCAGCGAGGCUAAGGGAUGGGAGUCCCGGAGCCGUAGGGAAACCGAGUCUUAACAGGGCGAACACAGUUGCACGUCGCAGACCCGAAGCCAGGUGAUCUAGUUACGCGCAGGCUGAAGGCAGGGUAAAACCUGUUGGAGGGCCGAACCCUAGUCUGUUAAAAAAGGCAGGGACGACGCGUGACUCGGAGCGAAAGACUAAACAAACCUGGAGAUAGCUGGUUCUCCCCGAAAUGCCUUGAGGGACAGCCUCGUCAAAAUCUUUGGCAGGUAGAGCACUGGAUGGACUAGGGGGCUUCACCGCCUACCAAACCCAAUCAAACUCCGAAUGGCGAGAGACAACUGACGGGAGUGAGACUGCGGGCGACAAGGUUCGUAGUCGAGAGGGAAACAGCCCAGACCGCCGGCUAAGGUCCCGGAUGGCGUGCUAAGUGUGAAAUGAUGUGCGAUGGCGAAGACAGCCAGGAGGUUGGCUUAGAAGCAGCCAUUCCUUAAAAGAGUGCGUAAUAGCUCACUGGUCGAGUCAUGGCGCGCAGACAAUGUAGCGGGGCUAAGCACGCAACCGAAGCCGCGGCUUUCGCGAGCAAUCGCGAGAGGGUAGGGGAGCAUUCCACGGGCCGACGAAGGCAAACCGCGAGGGUUGCUGGAGGCAGUGGAAGAGAGAAUGCAGGUAUAAGUAGACGAAAAGACGGGUGAGAUCCCCGUCCGCCGGAAGCCUAAGGAUUCCUGGGUAAAGGCAAUCUGCCCAGGGUAAGUCGGCCCCUAAGGCGAGGGGGAAACCCGUAGCCGAUGGGAAACUGGUCAUUAUUCCAGUACCGUUCUUGGUUUCAAGGGACGACGCAUGAGGCGAAGCCCGGCCGGGCGACGGUAGUCCCGGUCGAAGCGCCAAGCUAGUGGGGCCGGAGGAAACGGCCGCAGGCGAGGCGUUACAGCGAGCGGAGCGACAGCGAAGCGAAGCGGGCGCAGUCACGGUGCCGAGAAACAGUCCCCUAUGGCUAGGCCAAGAAGACCGUACCGCAAACCGACACAGGUAGGCGGGAUGAGAAAUCUAAGGCGCUCGAGAGAAUUCACGUUAAGGAACUCGGCAAAAUGCGCACGUAACUUCGGGAGAAGUGCGGCCGCAGCCGGUUUUAGAAAUAAUGUUGGCGGCGGCGUCACAAAGCAGUCCCAGGCGACUGUUUAUCAAAAACACAGGCCUCUGCGAACCUGCAAAGGGACGUAUAGGGGCUGACACCUGCCCGGUGCCGGAAGGUUAAGGGGAGCGGUUAGGCGAAAGCCGAGGCUGCGAACCGAAGCCCCGGUAAACGGCGGCCGUAACUAUAACGGUCCUAAGGUAGCGAAAUUCCUUGUCGGGUAAGUUCCGACCCGCACGAAAGGUGUAACGAUCUGGGAGCUGUCUCAACGUGAAACUCGGUGAAAUUUAAGUACCGGUCAAGAUGCCGGUUACCCGUGGUUAGACGGAAAGACCCCGUGAACCUUCACUGCAACUUAUCGUGGGGACUUGGUCAGGCAUGUGUAGGAUAGGUGGGAGGCUUUGAAGUAUGGGCGUUAGCCUGUAUGGAGCCGACGGUGAAAUACCACCCUUGUCUGAUUAGGUUUCUAACGGGAUCCAUGAAGCUGGGUUCCGGACAGCGGUAGGCAGGCAGUUUGACUGGGGCGGUCGCCUCCCAAAGAGUAACGGAGGUGCGCGAAGGUCUCCUCGCGCCGGUUGGAAAUCGGCGCGCGAGUGUAAAGGCAAAAGGAGGCUUGACUGCGAGGCCGACAGGCCGGGCAGGUACGAAAGUAGGUCUUAGUGAUCUGGCGGUAGCGGGUGGAAGCGCCGUCACUUAACGGAUAAAAGGUACUCCGGGGAUAACAGGCUAAUCUUCCCCAAGAGUUCACAUCGACGGGAAGGUUUGGCACCUCGAUGUCGGCUCAUCGCAUCCUGGGGCUGAAGCAGGUCCCAAGGGUUUGGCUGUUCGCCAAUUAAAGCGGUACGUGAGCUGGGUUCAGAACGUCGCGAGACAGUUCGGUCCCUAUCUGCCAUGGGCGAAGGAUGGUUGAGAGGAGCUGUUUUUAGUACGAGAGGACCGAGACGGACGGACCGCUGGUGUGCCGGUUGUCCCGCCAGGGGCAAGCGCCGGGUAGCCAUGUCCGGAAAGGAUAACCGCUGAAGGCAUCUAAGCGGGAAGCCUGCCUCAAGAUGAGCCAUCCCUGGGGGUUCGACCCCCCCGAAGGCGCCAGGGAGACUACCUGGUUGAUAGGCUGGAGGUGCAAGCGCGGUAACGCGUUUAGCCGACCAGUACUAAUCCGCCGCGAGGCUUGACC
This 2324-nucleotide ribosomal RNA is filed under the name termite gut metagenome. RNAcentral's name for it is "bacterial LSU rRNA". It matches the Rfam family "Bacterial large subunit ribosomal RNA", at positions 618 to 2925 of the family's 2925-position model. The record is from RNAcentral.